RNAcentral lists this ribosomal RNA (1554 nucleotides) under Escherichia coli. RNAcentral's name for it is "bacterial SSU rRNA". It matches the Rfam family "Bacterial small subunit ribosomal RNA". The record is from RNAcentral. Lineage: Bacteria; Pseudomonadati; Pseudomonadota; Gammaproteobacteria; Enterobacterales; Enterobacteriaceae.
AAAUUGAAGAGUUUGAUCAUGGCUCAGAUUGAACGCUGGCGGCAGGCCUAACACAUGCAAGUCGAACGGUAACAGAAAGCAGCUUGCUGCUUUGCUGACGAGUGGCGGACGGGUGAGUAAUGUCUGGGAAACUGCCUGAUGGAGGGGGAUAACUACUGGAAACGGUAGCUAAUACCGCAUAACGUCGCAAGACCAAAGAGGGGGACCUUCGGGCCUCUUGCCAUCGGAUGUGCCCAGAUGGGAUUAGCUUGUUGGUGGGGUAACGGCUCACCAAGGCGACGAUCCCUAGCUGGUCUGAGAGGAUGACCAGCCACACUGGAACUGAGACACGGUCCAGACUCCUACGGGAGGCAGCAGUGGGGAAUAUUGCACAAUGGGCGCAAGCCUGAUGCAGCCAUGCCGCGUGUAUGAAGAAGGCCUUCGGGUUGUAAAGUACUUUCAGCGGGGAGGAAGGGAGUAAAGUUAAUACCUUUGCUCAUUGACGUUACCCGCAGAAGAAGCACCGGCUAACUCCGUGCCAGCAGCCGCGGUAAUACGGAGGGUGCAAGCGUUAAUCGGAAUUACUGGGCGUAAAGCGCACGCAGGCGGUUUGUUAAGUCAGAUGUGAAAUCCCCGGGCUCAACCUGGGAACUGCAUCUGAUACUGGCAAGCUUGAGUCUCGUAGAGGGGGGUAGAAUUCCAGGUGUAGCGGUGAAAUGCGUAGAGAUCUGGAGGAAUACCGGUGGCGAAGGCGGCCCCCUGGACGAAGACUGACGCUCAGGUGCGAAAGCGUGGGGAGCAAACAGGAUUAGAUACCCUGGUAGUCCACGCCGUAAACGAUGUCGACUUGGAGGUUGUGCCCUUGAGGCGUGGCUUCCGGAGCUAACGCGUUAAGUCGACCGCCUGGGGAGUACGGCCGCAAGGUUAAAACUCAAAUGAAUUGACGGGGGCCCGCACAAGCGGUGGAGCAUGUGGUUUAAUUCGAUGCAACGCGAAGAACCUUACCUGGUCUUGACAUCCACAGAACUUUCCAGAGAUGAGAUUGUGCCUUCGGGAACUGUGAGACAGGUGCUGCAUGGCUGUCGUCAGCUCGUGUUGUGAAAUGUUGGGUUAAGUCCCGCAACGAGCGCAACCCUUAUCCUUUGUUGCCAGCGGUCCGGCCGGGAACUCAAAGGAGACUGCCAGUGAUAAACUGGAGGAAGGUGGGGAUGACGUCAAGUCAUCAUGGCCCUUACGACCAGGGCUACACACGUGCUACAAUGGCGCAUACAAAGAGAAGCGACCUCGCGAGAGCAAGCGGACCUCAUAAAGUGCGUCGUAGUCCGGAUUGGAGUCUGCAACUCGACUCCAUGAAGUCGGAAUCGCUAGUAAUCGUGGAUCAGAAUGCCACGGUGAAUACGUUCCCGGGCCUUGUACACACCGCCCGUCACACCAUGGGAGUGGGUUGCAAAAGAAGUAGGUAGCUUAACCUUCGGGAGGGCGCUUACCACUUUGUGAUUCAUGACUGGGGUGAAGUCGUAACAAGGUAACCGUAGGGGAACCUGCGGUUGGAUCACCUCCUUACCUUAAAGAAGC